ACGCAGCGAAACGCGAUAGGUAAUGUGAAUUGCAGAAUUCCGUGAAUCAUCGAAUCUUUGAACGCACCUUGCGCUCCAUGGUAUUCCGUGGAGCAUGCCUGUUUGAGUGCCGCGAAUUCUCCCUCCCCUUACGGUGGCCGAAAGGCCGAAGUAGGGCGGACGGGGUAGGAUGGGUGUUGCUGCCUGGGGAUUGUACCAGGCUCGCCCGAAAUGCAUAAGCGCCAGGACCCUCGCUACCGCUCUCUAGGGAAGAGUGGCUAAGCGACCGCUGAGCAUGGCAUGAUACGUCAUUUGCUGUGUGUGGGCGGCCGGUUGGAGAGGUGUCUGCUUUACCAGCCCUUUUUUAAUUCUGGUCUCAAAUCAGGUAGGAUCACCCGCUGAACUUAAGCAUAUCAU
RNAcentral lists this ribosomal RNA (396 nucleotides) under Malassezia sympodialis. RNAcentral's name for it is "eukaryotic LSU rRNA". The stretch from base 1 to 112 matches the Rfam family "5.8S ribosomal RNA", at positions 43 to 154 of the family's 154-position model. Lineage: Eukaryota; Fungi; Basidiomycota; Malasseziomycetes; Malasseziales; Malasseziaceae. The record is from RNAcentral.